Small nucleolar RNA from Dioscorea cayenensis subsp. rotundata (Guinea yam), 139 nucleotides. RefSeq annotates it as small nucleolar RNA Z247. The transcript has a single exon. NCBI's taxonomy places the organism in Eukaryota, Viridiplantae, Streptophyta, Magnoliopsida, Dioscoreales, Dioscoreaceae. The record is from RefSeq and is a predicted model, not a curated record.
CCUCUUGAAGAUGAAGAGAUUAUUACUUAUAUGCUUGCUGGUCUUGAUUCUAAGUUUGAGCCUCUUGUAACUUCAGUCACCACACGGAUAGAUCCUUUCUCUCUGAAUGAUCUCUUUGCGCAUCUUCUGAGUUAUGAGA